This 268-nucleotide ribosomal RNA is filed under the name uncultured Leptolinea sp. RNAcentral's name for it is "partial 16S ribosomal RNA". It matches the Rfam family "Bacterial small subunit ribosomal RNA", at positions 1100 to 1382 of the family's 1533-position model. Lineage: Bacteria; Bacillati; Chloroflexota; Anaerolineae; Anaerolineales; Anaerolineaceae. The record is from RNAcentral.
AACCCUCGCUGUGUGUUACAAGUGCCACACGGUACUGCCGGUCUUAAGCCGGAGGAAGGUGGGGAUGACGUCAAGUCAGCAUGGCCUUUAUGUCCUGGGCUACACACACGCUACAAUGGCCAACACAAUAGGUUGCUAAGCCGCGAGGUGGAGCCAAUCCUCAAAGUUGGUCUCAGUUCAGAUUGCAGGCUGCAACCCGCCUGCAUGAAGAUGGAGUUGCUAGUAACCGCAGGUCAGCUAUACUGCGGUGAAUACGUUCCCGGGGCUU